ACGGAGGGUGCGAGCGUUAAUCGGAAUUACUGGGCGUAAAGCGUGCGCAGGCGGUUUCUUAAGUCAGAUGUGAAAUCCCCGGGCUCAACCUGGGAACUGCGUUUGAGACUGCGAGACUUGAGUGCGGCAGAGGGGGGUGGAAUUGCAGGUGUAGCAGUGAAAUGCGUAGAGAUGUGGAGGAACACCGGUGGCGAAGGCGGCCCCCUGGGUCGAUACUGACGCUCA
This 225-nucleotide ribosomal RNA is filed under the name uncultured prokaryote. RNAcentral describes it as "partial 16S ribosomal RNA". It matches the Rfam family "Bacterial small subunit ribosomal RNA", at positions 525 to 749 of the family's 1533-position model. The record is from RNAcentral.